GGAGAAGCCUGUGUGGCAUUGUCUCAGUGGGUGUUGUUGUGAAAGAUUUACAGCUUAAUGAGAGUCAUGUAAAGCAGAGGACAACAAGCCCUGCUGCUAUCCAUCACCUGGUCUGCUCCCAGCCUUAUACCUUAGCUCCGUUCACAGGGCAUGUACAUGACAGAGGAGGACAUGACCACAUUUUUGGAUUCAGAUUGACUAACAAGAAAAAAAGAAAAGCUUUCAGUGUAUUUUAUUGAGUUGAUUAGUUAAAGUCUUGUUAAAGUCUUCGGGAUACUUCCUUCACUGAGGAAACUGAGGUCAUACACGUACCUGGACGAUAUCAAAGAGGCUGAUUCCACUAUGUUCAGGAUCUAUUUGUUUUCUUUUGGUUUUUGUUUAGUUUUUUGUACUUUCAAGCCAACAAAAGUAAAGAAGGGAAGCAGGAUGGGAUACAGAGACGCUGUGUCUUUACACAGGACCAACUACUGCUGAAGACAUCAAGGUCAUGUCCCGUCCCCGAGCGUGGUCUUCCUCCCUGCUGUGUGUGCCGGGUUUAGCUGGAGGCCGGCCACUCAGUCAGUCCCCUCGACAGUUGGAUCGGGACUGGAUGUGAGCAGUCCCCCACACCCAGAGAUCUGGCGAGAAAGGUGAACAUUAACCCGGGACUCAUUCGGGGCAUCCCGCAAUUCCCCAUAAAUCAUUAACCCGUCCAGCAUCAAGACAGUGACAGCAUCAGCAUGACAACAUCAAUCUGUCAGGAUUCCUCUGAACCAGGGAUUCUCACAGAUUUUCAGAUGCAAAUAGAGGGAAACUGGGAGAAAACAGGCUUGCACUCCUGGGCUGUAACAACAAGCGUGGCCCCGAUAUUUAGUUCAGUACUUGUAUAUAUUCAUUAUAUGGUAUUUCUUUGUUCUCUUGAGUUCCUGCAGCAGGUGGCUGUAGCUGGAUGAGGUUCAAGACAACAAAUCAUCAUUAUUAUUAAAUGUAAAUCCGAUCCUUCCGCCUGAACAGCUUAGAAGCUUCAUUUUAUUAACUGAAACCACUUACUCACCUUCAUGCCAUAGUCCGUGCCACUGAGUACAUGUAACACUGCACUUAAGGACACUUUCUGAGAUACUCAGGGGGUUUUUUUUACCAGCUUUGUUUACUAGAUGAAGAUUUAACAUUCCCAGAAUAUGAGAGGCUGAUAAAAUAUCACACAGCUGUUACUGUAACUCAAAUUAAAAGCAGUAUGCAGUGACAAUAUCCAAGAGUAUAUUAUUGUAUUAUUACACUAAAAGACCUGUUUCUACACAUAUUUUUUACUGAACUGAAAACAUUGUAUGAUUUGAUUAGUUGUACUUUUGAUAGAAUUUAAAGACAAAAGCCAUCGAUGCAUAUUUAAACAGAUCGUCAGCUGCAAAGUUGACUUCUCCUCUCUAAAAUUUGACAUUUUUUAGUCUUAUUUCUCAAUUAUUAUAAUCUAUGUUAAUGUUGGUAAUUUAUUAAUGUUGUAGCAUAAAUAUGGAAAGUUAACAUUGUUGUUUUUGUCAUUUUGUUGUAAUGUUUGUACUCAUUGUUGUGUUAUUUGUGUUAUUAUGAAUUUGUGGCAUCUCUGUAAACCCGGGAGAGGUCAAAGGGCAGAGCUGCUGCAAUAAUACACAUUUAUUUAUAUUCUAAAUGCCUUAUAUGUAAAAGGAUGGUAAGAGAACACCAACCAUCUAUCUUUUCUGACACUUCUCUGACACUGACACUUGUUUGGAUUACAUUUUUAAUUUCUUCCAGCUGUUUCGGAGUAAUUGGACCGCAUUAAAUUUGAAAACUGUAAGUAUCGUCUUGAACAGAUGAUAUUUUUUCAUUGUAAUUUGGGAAUAAUGGGUUCAAUUUAAAACAUAACGCAGGUCACUUUUGUUUAACAAAGUAUGAAACUCUGUAUGGAGUAGAAAGAUGUAUAAUUGCAAAAAAGCCAAAAUGUAAGUCAGAAUUAAAUAUGAUCUGCUUUA
Molecule: long non-coding RNA, 1964 nt
Organism: Oreochromis niloticus (Nile tilapia)
Lineage: Eukaryota; Metazoa; Chordata; Actinopteri; Cichliformes; Cichlidae
Exons: 2
Source: RefSeq, a predicted model, not a curated record